AACGAACGCUGGCGGCAGGCCUAACACAUGCAAGUCGAGCGGACCCUUCGGGGUUAGCGGCGGACGGGUGAGUAACGCGUGGGAAUAUGCCCUUCUCUACGGAAUAGUCCUGGGAAACUGGGGGUAAUACCGUAUACGCCCUUUGGGGGAAAGAUUUAUCGGGGAAGGAUUAGCCCGCGUUGGAUUAGGUAGUUGGUGGGGUAAUGGCCUACCAAGCCGACGAUCCAUAGCUGGUUUGAGAGGAUGAUCAGCCACACUGGGACUGAGACACGGCCCAGACUCCUACGGGAGGCAGCAGUGGGGAAUCUUAGACAAUGGGGGCAACCCUGAUCUAGCCAUGCCGCGCGAGUGAUGAAGGCCUUAGGGUUGUAAAGCUCUUUCAGCUGGGAAGAUAAUGACGGUACCAGCAGAAGAAGCCCCGGCUAACUCCGUG
RNAcentral lists this ribosomal RNA (433 nucleotides) under uncultured bacterium. RNAcentral's name for it is "partial 16S ribosomal RNA". It matches the Rfam family "Bacterial small subunit ribosomal RNA", at positions 29 to 507 of the family's 1533-position model. The record is from RNAcentral.